This 382-nucleotide ribosomal RNA is filed under the name uncultured bacterium. RNAcentral describes it as "bacterial SSU rRNA". It matches the Rfam family "Bacterial small subunit ribosomal RNA", at positions 29 to 440 of the family's 1533-position model. The record is from RNAcentral.
AGCGAACGCUGGCGGCAGGCCUAACACAUGCAAGUCGAGCGCCCAGCAAUGGGAGCGGCAGACGGGAUAGUAACACGUGGGAACGUACCUUUCAGUUCGGAACAACCCAGGGAAACUUGGGCUAAUACCGAAUACGUCCGUAAGGAGAAAGAUUUAUCGCUGAAAGAUCGGCCCGCGUCUGAUUAGCUAGUUGGUGAGGUAAUGGCUCACCAAGGCGACGAUCAGUAGCUGGUCNGAGAGGAUGAUCAGCAUCACUGGGACUGAGACACGGCCCAGACUCCUACGGGAGGCAGCAGUGGGGAAUAUUGGACAAUGGGCGCAAGCCUGAUCCAGCCAUGCCGCGUGGAUGAUGAAGGCCUUAGGGUUGUAAAGUCCUUUCGGC